UAUAGGUUUGGUCCCAGCCUUCCUGUUAACUUUCAAUAGACUUAUACAUGCAAGCAUCCACGCCCCGGUGAGUAACGCCCUUCGAAUCACACAGGACUAAAAGGAGCAGGUAUCAAGCACACACUCUUGUAGCUCACAACGCCUUGCUUAACCACACCCCCACGGGAGACAGCAGUAACAAAAAUUAAGCCAUAAACGAAAGUUUGACUAAGCCAUAUUGACUAGGGUUGGUAAAUCUCGUGCCAGCCACCGCGGUCAUACGAUUGACCCAAGCUAACAGGAGUACGGCGUAAAGCGUGUUAAAGCAUCAUACUAAAUAGAGUUAAAUUUUAAUUAAACUGUAAAAAGCCAUAAUUAUAACAAAAAUAAAUGACGAAAGUAACCCUACAAUAGCUGAUACACCAUAGCUAAGACCCAAACUGGGAUUAGAUACCCCACUAUGCUUAGUCCUAAACACAAAUAAUUAU
Molecule: ribosomal RNA, 467 nt
Filed under: Ovis aries (sheep)
Lineage: Eukaryota; Metazoa; Chordata; Mammalia; Artiodactyla; Bovidae
Description: partial 12S ribosomal RNA
Source: RNAcentral